AAUUCGAUGCAACGCGAAGAACCUUACCAAGGCUUGACAUAUAGAGGAAACGUCUGGAAACAGUCGCCCCGCAAGGUCUCUAUACAGGUGGUGCAUGGUUGUCGUCAGCUCGUGUCGUGAGAUGUUGGGUUAAGUCCCGCAACGAGCGCAACCCUCGUUCUAUGUUGCCAGCACGUAAUGGUGGGAACUCAUGGGAUACUGCCGGGGUCAACUCGGAGGAAGGUGGGGAUGACGUCAAAUCAUCAUGCCCCUUAUGUCUUGGGCUUCACGCAUGCUACAAUGGCCGGUACAAAGGGCUGCAAUACCGUAAGGUGGAGCGAAUCCCAAAAAGCCGGUCCCAGUUCGGAUUGAGGUCUGCAACUCGACCUCAUGAAGUCGGAGUCGCUAGUAAUCGCAGAUCAGCAACGCUGCGGUGAAUACGUUCCCGGGUCUU
This 433-nucleotide ribosomal RNA is filed under the name uncultured Microbacterium sp. RNAcentral describes it as "bacterial SSU rRNA". It matches the Rfam family "Bacterial small subunit ribosomal RNA", at positions 948 to 1382 of the family's 1533-position model. The record is from RNAcentral. Lineage: Bacteria; Bacillati; Actinomycetota; Actinomycetes; Micrococcales; Microbacteriaceae.